CAUUUGAAUGACAAACAGCCAGUGUGCAUUGUCAGCACGUGGCUAUCAUUAUCAUCAUUGGAAAUGAUGCUCCAGUGUUUUGUUAAGUUUUCACAUGAUGGGCUCAUGGUAGUGCCAUAUACAUUCAUUCCUUCAUGUCCUCAUGAAUAAACUGUUGCAAGUCAGCGCUGCGUGCGUGUCGCUCUCUCGUGUCCCUGUCUUUGUUGCGCUGUGGUUUUUCCCAAUGAAUCACCAAGAUGCGCAAACUGAACCAAGUGGAUAGUGCACAACAUUUACGCUUAUGUCUGUCUGCAAGCUGAAAGAUGACAGGAGCCUGAUGACGUCAAACAAGUCCGAAGUCAAACAGGGCAAAGUUUGUCACUGGACAUCGACGGUCAUGUGAAGUUGUGAUUCAAAGAGUUAUUUGAAGGCAGUGCCAGGAACAACUGCAGCUCUUGUGCAGCAGCUUGUGGAAAAAGGCCACGUAGACAAGCAUUUAAGCCCAAAGACUGCUUCGGACCAGGAGGUGCGACUACAGAAGAACCACUGGAUUGCUCCGACCAUCGUAGCCAAUGCACCGCAACUGCCUGAUGACGAAAUCGAAGAGGAGGCAGCUGGCGAUAACGUGGUGUCUGAACACGCAGGCUCUGAGAAAAUUGUACACGACAUCAUAACAGGACGGAGGCUCAUGCUGUUGAUUGAUUUCAAUCACUGGAUAGACUGUACCCUCAUGGCCAAGAUCGAAAAGUCCUAGAACCACUCUACAUAUCAGCGAGCGAGACAGCAACUUCCAAUAUUUGUGCGCAGGGCUAUCCCGUUCAGGAGUAAAAAAAAUUUGUGCCAAAGAUUUCUGGCAGCCUCAACCAAUGGCCCGCCGAAGACAGCGGUGCCCUAAUACCCAGGCAAAGCCAGUGGAGGCCUACCAUACGCCAUCCUUCAAACCAGUGUCACUGGGCCCAUCGUUGCAGGCGACAGCUGCCGAACUGUUGGUGCCAGCAACAACACAGUGACAUCAACUACACCGCUGGAAUCGCGCAUGCCGUCGAGGUUAGCCGCUACGGCAGAUGCAGCCGCGAUGGAAGAUGAGUGCGCUCUCUACCUGCGGGAGCUGUGGUUGACCAUACCCGUAGCCACAGCCUGCUACUGGGGGCCCCGCUCGUCCAUGAGGAGCACGCCACGGGCAUUUCCUUUGCCGCAGCUGUUUGCACUCGACUGUUCGAAUAGUAUAUGAAUUAGAUAUCGCUUUGAUUUUCAUCCUGUAAUCCGUCUCGUUUCAUAUAUCUUUCUUUGUUACGUUAGCGAAUAAAUGUGUGUG
Dermacentor silvarum is the source of this 1294-nucleotide long non-coding RNA. RefSeq lists it as uncharacterized. The record is from RefSeq and is a predicted model, not a curated record. The transcript has 4 exons. Lineage: Eukaryota; Metazoa; Arthropoda; Arachnida; Ixodida; Ixodidae.